Non-coding RNA from Caenorhabditis briggsae, 70 nucleotides. Lineage: Eukaryota; Metazoa; Nematoda; Chromadorea; Rhabditida; Rhabditidae. The record is from RefSeq and is a predicted model, not a curated record.
UCGAGGUCUUCUUUAAGACCUUUAGAACAAUUUUUGGAAACCCUGUCUCAUUAAUUGGGGCAGGGUAAAU